GGAAAAACAAAAGGCAGUGAGUUCUCUCAGCCAAUUACAGGUCAACCUUCUCGUCUACCCCGCUCACUGCUGCGCUUGACUGGUCUUUG
Loxodonta africana (African savanna elephant) is the source of this 89-nucleotide unclassified non-coding RNA. It matches the Rfam family "Y RNA". From Rfam's summary of the family: Y RNAs are components of the Ro ribonucleoprotein particle (Ro RNP), in association with Ro60 and La proteins. The Y RNAs and Ro60 and La proteins are well conserved, but the function of the Ro RNP is not known. In humans the RNA component can be one of four small RNAs -- hY1, hY3, hY4 and hY5. NCBI's taxonomy places the organism in Eukaryota, Metazoa, Chordata, Mammalia, Proboscidea, Elephantidae. The record is from Ensembl.